AGAAGGGCGGUCUUGUGGUUAAGACUCUGGACUGGGGUUCAGGAGACCUGGGCUCAAUUCCCAGCUCUGCGA
Molecule: transfer RNA, 72 nt
Filed under: Chelonia mydas (Green sea turtle)
Lineage: Eukaryota; Metazoa; Chordata; Testudines; Cheloniidae
Rfam family: tRNA
About the family: Transfer RNA (tRNA) molecules are approximately 80 nucleotides in length. Their secondary structure includes four short double-helical elements and three loops (D, anti-codon, and T loops).
Source: Rfam by way of RNAcentral